This 492-nucleotide ribosomal RNA is filed under the name uncultured bacterium. RNAcentral describes it as "partial 16S ribosomal RNA". It matches the Rfam family "Bacterial small subunit ribosomal RNA", at positions 28 to 507 of the family's 1533-position model. The record is from RNAcentral.
GAUGAACGCUAGCUACAUGCUUAACACAUGCAAGUCGAGGGGAAACGCCAUCGAAAGCUUGCUUUUGAUGGGCGUCGGCCGGCGCACGGGUGAGUAACGCGUAUCCAACCUGCGCAUCACUUGGGAAUAACCUUGCGAAAUUAAGACUAAUACCCAAUGAUAUCCCACGAAUGCAUCGGAAUAGGAUGAAAGUUUUAUCGGUGAUGGAUGGGGAUGCGUCUGAUUAGCUUGUUGGCUGGGUAACGGCCCACCAAGGCAACGAUCAGUAGGGGUUCUGAGAGUCAGGUACACUACAUUGGAGACGAGACCCAGACAAAAACGCUACGGGACGGUGGAGAGAGGAACAUUGGUCAAGGAGGGGGAGCGUGACAACGCCACGUAGGGUGAAGAAAGCUGGCGCUAGUGGUUGUAAAUUACUUUUAUAAGGGAAUAAAGUGGGUAACGUGUGACUUUUUGACGGUACCUAAUGAAUAAGGACCGGCUAAUUACGUG